UACGUAGGUGGCAAGCGUUGUCCGGAAUUAUUGGGCGUAAAGCGCGCGCAGGCGGUCCUUUAAGUCUGAUGUGAAAGCCCACGGCUCAACCGUGGAGGGUCAUUGGAAACUGGAGGACUUGAGUACUGAAGAGGAAAGUGGAAUUCCACGUGUAGCGGUGAAAUGCGUAGAGAUGUGGAGGAACACCAGUGGCGAAGGCGACUUUCUGGUCAGUAACUGACGCUGAGGCGCGAAAGCGUGGGGAGCAAACAGG
Molecule: ribosomal RNA, 253 nt
Filed under: uncultured bacterium
Lineage: Bacteria
Description: partial 16S ribosomal RNA
Rfam family: Bacterial small subunit ribosomal RNA
Source: RNAcentral